This 94-nucleotide small nuclear RNA is filed under the name Microtus ochrogaster (prairie vole). RNAcentral's name for it is "U2 spliceosomal RNA (ENSMOCG00000006773.1)". It matches the Rfam family "U2 spliceosomal RNA". From Rfam's summary of the family: U2 is a small nuclear RNA (snRNA) component of the spliceosome (involved in pre-mRNA splicing). Complementary binding between U2 snRNA (in an area lying towards the 5' end but 3' to hairpin I) and the branchpoint sequence (BPS) of the intron results the bulging out of an unpaired adenosine, on the BPS, which initiates a nucleophilic attack at the intronic 5' splice site, thus starting the first of two transesterification reactions that mediate splicing. Lineage: Eukaryota; Metazoa; Chordata; Mammalia; Rodentia; Cricetidae. The record is from RNAcentral.
AGCUGUUCUCGGCCUUUUGGCUAAGAUCAAGUGUAGUAUCUGUUCUUAUUAGCUUAAUAUCUGAUAUGUCCUCUCUCAGAGUCAUGGAACCAAC